Molecule: non-coding RNA, 45 nt
Organism: Schistosoma mansoni
Lineage: Eukaryota; Metazoa; Platyhelminthes; Trematoda; Strigeidida; Schistosomatidae
Source: Rfam
AUCCAGGUGACGAGUCCCCAAUAGGACGAAACACGCUUUCUGGAU